RNAcentral lists this ribosomal RNA (253 nucleotides) under uncultured bacterium. RNAcentral describes it as "partial 16S ribosomal RNA". It matches the Rfam family "Bacterial small subunit ribosomal RNA", at positions 524 to 776 of the family's 1533-position model. The record is from RNAcentral.
UACGGAGGGGGCUAGCGUUGUUCGGAAUUACUGGGCGUAAAGGGCGCGUAGGCGGCUUAUCAAGUCAGGCGUGAAAUUCCCGGGCUCAACCUGGGGGCUGCGCUUGAUACUGAUUGGCUUGAAUGCGGGAGAGGAUAGUGGAAUUCCCAGUGUAGAGGUGAAAUUCGUAGAUAUUGGGAAGAACACCGGUGGCGAAGGCGGCUAUCUGGCCCGUAAUUGACGCUGAGGCGCGAAAGCGUGGGGAGCAAACAGG